AUGACGCUGGCGGCAGGCUACACUGCAGUCUCAACGGUACAGGAUAGCUUGCUAUCGCUGACGAGUGGCGGACGGGUGAGUAAUACUUAGGGAUCUGCCUCUGUGUGGGGGAUAACUAUUGGAAACGAUAGCUAAUACCGCAUAAUGUCUACGGACCAAAGCGGGCUUCGGCUCGUGCGCAGAGAGGAACCUAAGCGAGAUUAGCUAGUUGGUGAGGUAAAGGCUCACCAAGGCGACGAUCUCUAGCUUGUUCUGAGAGGAAGAUCAGCCACACUGGAACUGAGACACGGUCCAGACUCCUACGAGGAGGCAGCAGUGGGGAAUAUUGCACAAUGGGGGAAUCCCUGAUGCAGCCAUGCCGCGUGUGUGAAGAAGGCCUUCGGGUUGUAAAGCACUUUCAGUUGUGAGGAAAGUUUAGUAGUUAAUACCUGCUACAUGUGACGUUAGCAACAGAACGAAGCACCGGCUAACUCCGUGCCAGCCAGCCGC
RNAcentral lists this ribosomal RNA (489 nucleotides) under uncultured Gammaproteobacteria bacterium. RNAcentral describes it as "bacterial SSU rRNA". It matches the Rfam family "Bacterial small subunit ribosomal RNA", at positions 32 to 518 of the family's 1533-position model. Lineage: Bacteria; Pseudomonadati; Pseudomonadota; Gammaproteobacteria. The record is from RNAcentral.